GGGUCCGCACAAGCGGUGGAGCAUGUGGUUUAAUUCGAUAAUACGCGAGGAACCUUACCUAGGCUAGAAUGCGAGUGACAUCCAGAGAGAUCUGGAGUUCUUCGGACACAAAGCAAGGUGCUGCAUGGUUGUCGUCAGCUCGUGCCGUGAGGUGUUGGGUUAAGUCCCGCAACGAGCGCAACCCCUGUUUUUAGUUGCCAGCAAGUAAUGUUGGGGACUCUAGAAAGACUGCCUGCGUAAGCAGAGAGGAAGGAGGGGACGACGUCAAAUCAGCAUGGCCCUUAUGCCUAGGGCUACACACGUGCUACAAUGGCGUAUACAAAGGGUAGCGAACCAGCGAUGGUAAGCCAAUCUCUAAAAGUACGUCUCAGUUCGGAUUGAAGUCUGCAACUCGACUUCAUGAAGCUGGAAUCGCUAGUAAUCGUGUAUC
This 430-nucleotide ribosomal RNA is filed under the name uncultured bacterium. Its description in RNAcentral is "bacterial SSU rRNA". It matches the Rfam family "Bacterial small subunit ribosomal RNA", at positions 917 to 1350 of the family's 1533-position model. The record is from RNAcentral.